Molecule: ribosomal RNA, 400 nt
Filed under: Raillietina dromaius
Lineage: Eukaryota; Metazoa; Platyhelminthes; Cestoda; Cyclophyllidea; Davaineidae
Description: SSU rRNA
Rfam family: Eukaryotic small subunit ribosomal RNA
Source: RNAcentral
GGCCUUUAUACGGUGAAACCGCGAAUGGCUCAUUAAAUCAGCUAUGGUUUAUUGGAUCAUACCCGUUAAAUGGAUAACUGUAAUAACUCUAGAGCUAAUACAUGCCUCGAUGCCCUGACCCUGUCCUCCUGUGGCUCGUUGUAGCUGCAGUCGAGGGUGGGGGAGGGGUGCACUUAUUAGAUCAGAAGCCAACCGGCGUUGCGCGUGUAUUCAUGUGCAAGGCUGAAGCACUUCUGGUGACUCUGGAUAAUUGUUACAGAUCGCAGUCGGCCUUGAGUCGGCGACGGGUCCUUCAAAUGUCUGCCCUAUCAACUUUCGAUGGUAGGUGACCUGCCUACCAUGGUGAUAACGGGUAACGGGGAAUCAGGGUUCGAUCCGGAGAGGAGCUAGAACCGGUUCG